Long non-coding RNA from Acanthopagrus latus (yellowfin seabream), 400 nucleotides. RefSeq lists it as uncharacterized. The record is from RefSeq and is a predicted model, not a curated record. The transcript has 3 exons. NCBI's taxonomy places the organism in Eukaryota, Metazoa, Chordata, Actinopteri, Spariformes, Sparidae.
CAUUAUCCUAAACUAGUGCUACGUAGCUUCAGGCUAAUGUUAUUGAGCAAGUGAGCUAACGGUUAGCCUACUGCAGUUGAACUAUUGGGGAUAAGAUCUCUUCUGCUAUUACUCGUCAAGAAACUGUUGUAAAACUUACUUCAGGAGGAUUCAUUUUAAGAAUCUCCACCUCCAUCAGGUUCUCCAUCCCCUGCUCCGGCUCGUCUCCUAUCAGCACCUGGAUGUGAACACAGUUUCCAGGUAAUUAGGUCCACCAAGUGUCUGCCGGCCGGCUUUGGUCGCUGUCAGCUGCACAAGAGACGAAACAGUCAAGAACUCAACAUGAAAACAUCGCUGAGGCUACAUGUGUAUUUGUUUGCAGUGUCGUACCAGGAAAAGUGUUUCCAGCAGCAUCUUUCUG